UCUGGUUGAUCCUGCCAGUAGUUAUAUGCUUGUCUCAAAGAUUAAGCCAUGCAUGUCUAAGUACACACGAAUUAAAAGUGAAACCGCAAAAGGCUCAUUAUAUCAGUUAUGGUUCCUUAGAUCGUUAACAGUUACUUGGAUAACUGUGGUAAUUCUAGAGCUAAUACAUGCAAUAUAAACACGGACCUUUUGGAACGUGUGCUUUUAUUAGGCUAAAACCAAGCGAUCCCAGAUCGUCAUUAUGGUUGAACUCUAGAUAACUUGCAGAUCGUAUGGUCUUGUACCGACGACAGAUCUUUCAAAUGUCUGCCCUAUCAACUUUUGAUGGUAGUAUCUAGGACUACCAUGGUUGCUACGGGUAACGGGGAAUCAGGGUUCGAUUCCGGAGAGGGAGCCUGAGAAACGGCUACCACAUCUAAGGAAGGCAGCAGGCGCGUAAAUUACCCACUCCCAGCUCGGGGAGGUAGUGACGAAAAAUAACAAUACAGGACUCAUAUCCGAGGCCCUGUAAUUGGAAUGAGUACACUUUAAAUCCUUUAACAAGGACCCAUUGGAGGGCAAGUCUGGUGCCAGCAGCCGCGGUAAUUCNAGGUAAUUCCAGCUCUAAUAGCGUAUAUUUAAGUUGUUGCCGUUAAAACGUUCGUAGUUGAAUUUGUGCUUCAUACGGGUAGUACAACUAUAAUUGUGGUAUGUACAUUACCUUAUGUAUGUAAGCGUAUUACCGGUGGAGUUCUUAUAUGUGUUAAAUACUUGUAUUUUUCAUAUAUUCCUCCUAUUUAAACCUGCUUCAGUGCUCUUCAUCGAGUGUUGUUGUGGGCCGGUACAAUUACUUUGAACAAAUUAGAGUGCUUAAAGCAGGCUCAAAAUGCCUGAAUAUUCUGUGCAUGGAAUAAUGAAAUAAGACCUCUGUUCUGCUUUCAUUGGUUUUCAGAUCAAGAGGUAAUGAUUAAUAGAAGCAGUUUGGGGGCAUUAGUAUUACGACGCGAGAGGUGAAAUUCUUGGACCGUCGUAAGACUAACUUAAGCGAAAGCAUUUGCCAAAGAUGUUUUCAUUAAUCAAGAACGAAAGUUAGAGGUUCGAAGGCGAUCAGAUACCGCCCUAGUUCUAACCAUAAACGAUGCCAGCUAGCAAUUGGGUGUAGCUACUAUUAUGGCUCUCUCAGUCGCUUCCCGGGAAACCAAAGCUUUUGGGCUCCGGGGGAAGUAUGGUUGCAAAGCUGAAACUUAAAGGAAUUGACGGAAAGGCACCACCAGGAGUGGAGCACGACUCAACACGGGAAAACUUCCAUUCUGUUUGGAAUCUUUCCGACUGCAAAUGAUGCAGAUGCAAAGAACAAUUCGAAGUCGAAAACUG
This 1353-nucleotide ribosomal RNA is filed under the name Themira minor. Its description in RNAcentral is "SSU rRNA". It matches the Rfam family "Eukaryotic small subunit ribosomal RNA", at positions 1 to 1488 of the family's 1831-position model. The record is from RNAcentral. Lineage: Eukaryota; Metazoa; Arthropoda; Insecta; Diptera; Sepsidae.